This 3737-nucleotide long non-coding RNA is filed under the name Lotus japonicus. Its description in RNAcentral is "long non-coding RNA (LJAP_LNC001414)". Lineage: Eukaryota; Viridiplantae; Streptophyta; Magnoliopsida; Fabales; Fabaceae. The record is from RNAcentral.
GCUAUGUUACCUCUUCUCCUGUUGAUCUAAAGGGUGUUACCGUUACCUACAAGAUUGAAUUUCAUCUAUACUGGCCUCCUUAUGCAACUCAUGCCUCUUAAUUAGGAACUUGAUUUGUUCUUAUUUUAGUUGAAGGCUCAUGUUUUACAAAGCUGUAUCAGAGCAGUUUUUGAAAUGAAAAACGUCAUGGUUUAUGUUUGGAAACUUAGUUUUUACAUUUGUAUUUUACAACUACUCCUACACUCAUCCAAUUAUGGUACACUAUAGUGAAUAUUGUAAUAAAUAUAAAGGAUUUUCAACAGUGACGGAUCCAGGAUUUCUUAGUUGUGGGGCCAAAACACACGCACGUACAUAUAAAUAAAAUAUAAAAGAUUUAGUGUGGGCAAAUAAUACAAAUAACAUAUAUUUUUUACUGUACAAACAAGCAAGAUACAUAGUAUUUAAAAAACAUUUAACCACAAGGGGUGACACAAGUGGUGACUGUCUAUUUUUUUAAGAGAUUUCACCUAGGCUUCUGACCCGGGUUUGAAAGAGGAGAAAAAAAUUAUGUGAUCCUUUGCAAGAUUGUGAAUGGAACUUGAAAGCAGCAGAGUAUUAGGUUCAAGCUGAGAGCAUGAGCAAACUAAACUUUCGCAGGUUCAAAUCUUUUAAUUUGUUUUCAGAUAGUAUUCACAAGCAAAAUAUAAAAAUCCCAGCAUAGAAGAUCAUAUACAAUAGAACGUAUAACCCUUGACAAUACGUUGAGGCAGUGAACAACUGUUUACAUUAUUUUACUUAUCGACUAUCCUAGGUUUAAUGAGGUAAUUUCAUAUGGUUCAACAAAACUUGCAUAAGCUUUGAAAUGAAAAGAUUGAUUUUCUUAAUGGAUGGAUGGGAUAACCAAACAAGAUAGCAAAUUAUAUACUAGGGUGUUUCUCAAAAAAUAGUCCUCAGUUCCUAACACGUGAACAAGGAAAGAUGGCACCUAAUCCUUACAGGCAGAAAGAGGCUAUCAAGAAAGUCUGAACAGUUUGUGAGCUGCUUAUUAUAUCAAGGAAAGUCUAAGCAGCCUUUUAUUUCCUUGAAAAAAGAAAAACUUAGGACAUUAGGUCAGGUGGUGGGGAUCAUUUUAUUUCAAAGACAUGUAUGUGCCGCAAUGAGUUUAUAAUGAACCUAAAUUUAUCAACAAAAGUCAAGAAUCCUAAUUGACAACAAGUUAUCAUAGUCAUUAAGAAAUUCCGUAAACUUGAAUAGCAGCGCAUUUAGUUUCCCACAUAUACAGUAACCUUGAUUUCUGAAAUAGUAUGAAUCAAUGAAUUUGGUAAAACGAAUACAAUAUAAACCUUGAAUGCUUCCAUCUUAAACAAGGCACAAAAAAAAAUUCAAAUAUACAAGAGGUGCAAGAAACACCGAUGAAGCAGCAAAAGCAGAACAUGAUUGUAGUUAUAUGAAUAUAUUUCUGAGAGCUGCAGUGUUUACAAAUUAGUAAAGAAAGAAUAAAUAUAUUAAGCAGCCAGAGGAAGCGUUAGGUGAAGAUAUAAUUCUUUGAAGUGAUUUCGGUGUAGUAGUAGAACUAAAGCCUCUUCCCGUGACUCCUGUUGCAAUACUUCAAAGAAAAACUUUAAUUGUUCAAAAUUGAUUUAUAUGGAAGUUAAACCCGGGGAUUGUGUAGGCGAGGUCUAUUGCAGAAAACCCGGCCGUUGGCCCGCACAAAUGCUGCUAUACCAACACUAAUGCUUGCCCACAUUAGCGAAAAGAACAAGUGCCGAAAAUCAUAUCGAACUGUAGGAAAAAUGAACAGUCAGGCUUAAAGAUAACCGAUUUUACACCAUAUGUGAUAAGUAGUUGAUUAAUCUAUACGUGGUUGGCCUUAACCCCAAGCUAGCAAAAUCUAUAUUAGACGGUUAAACAAGACAAAUAGAGACAAAACUUCACUAUGUAACAACUUGAUAAUAAUGUAAUCAGUACAGGAAUAUCUAAUUUACUCUGCUUGUAUUCCUGCAACGAGGGAAGGACAAAAAUUCUCAUAAUCUUUGAAAGUCACGUUUUGCUUAAAUAUCUAGAAAUCGGGCAUUUUACGAUGCUUCAAAUUCUUUCCUUGACAACCUAAUUAUUUUAUUAUGAAAACUAAAGAUCCAUAUUAGAAGUGGCUUUCCUCCUUAUAUAUAUUUUUUGAACGUCUUUCCUUUUCUUAUAUAAAAGAGCCUAAAAUUGCAUACAUGAAUUUGGGUCAGUACUGAAAUGACCCAUAUAUACAUAACCACCUAAAAAUGAGGCGGGGUCGCAUAAUCCUAUAAACCAUGAAAGUCACUAAUAUAGCGUAAUAAACAUAUAAUUCACACAUAUAGAGAAUUAAUAUACGUAAAUGAUGUCAGACCGUCCACGCAUGAAGAGGCUACCCAUCAUACAAAGAAGUCAUGACUAAAGACUCGUUUGAGUUAGGUGACUCAUCAUUGGGUGUGUAAUUGUGUCCACCACCGUAGAUAAGUUUACCGAUAUUUUUUAUGAACUUUUUUAUGUAAGUUACUAUUGUGGCGGCCUUGAAUUACAAACUAAAGGAACGCAACUUUGACUUAUUCUUAUCGUGUUCCCUUUACCUUAUCACUCAUUUACUAGUGCCACCUGCUCCACCAUUUUGAAAGGCAUUUUAUUUUAACUUGGAAAGAAGCAUCUCACCUAAAAUCACUUAAUAAAAGUAUAAAAAAAAAAGUGAACUGAAAAAUGAAAAAUCAAAUUUUUGCACGCAAUUCAAAAUGCAGUAAAGUAAUUUUGGCCCUUUCUACACUGCAACAAGGUCUUCAAGGAUUCACACAAAUUUUCCAACAUCUUAUAAUGACUAGACUAGUGAAUUUAGAAUUCCUUGACUCUGAUUCGCCAUCACCUGCAAUGCAACAUAACAAGCUAGCUUUUCACACUGUAAUGUGAAGUAUGAACCUAGUCUUUAUAAUGAGAUAUAACCCUCCCUUUUGUGAUCAAAACUUAGUUACAAAUCAUAGAUAGCUAUGGCUUAUGCUUUGCAAAACUAUGCUCUUAAUAUUUUUCUUUUGGCCUUGGCCUUAAUCCCAUUUGAGGGAGCCUGUGGCUCCCAUCAUCACCAAUUGCAGCACCUCAAAUCCCUUCACUUCUCUCUGUUUCAACAUGAAACCAUAAACAGAACAGGAUAUGUCAUAGUGAAUGGAGUGCAAGGAGGGCCAGGAAUCACUGAAACCACAACCCCUUUUGGCACUCUAUUUGUCUUUCAGGACCCUUUGACUGUCACAGCCAACAGAUCCUCCAAACUUGUUGGAAUUGCUGAGGGAACUUCCAUCACCUCAAGCCUUGAUGGGCUUCGCAGCAUUUCGAUUGCGAAGCUAACUCUGCGCCUGAAAAAUCACAGGGGUUCUGUUUCCAUUGUUGGAGGUACACAUAAUGUUAAGCCUUCAGAUCAUCCAAUAGUGGGAGGUACAGAAGAUUUCUUGUUUGUGCAAGGCUAUGUUACCUCUUCUCCUGUUGAUCUAAAGGGUGUUACCGUUACCUACAAGAUUGAAUUUCAUCUAUACUGGCCUCCUUAUGCAACUCAUGCCUCUUAAUUAGGAACUUGAUUUGUUCUUAUUUUAGUUGAAGGCUCAUGUUUUACAAAGCUGUAUCAGAGCAGUUUUUGAAAUGAAAAACGUCAUGGUUUAUGUUUGGAAACUUAGUUUUUACAUUUGUAUUUUACAACUACUCCUACACUCAUCCAAUUAUGGUACACUAUAGUGAAUAUUGUAAUAAAUAUAAAG